CCAAACUGUUGCCUCGGCGGGAUCUCUGCCCCGGGUGCGUCGCAGCCCCGGACCAAGGCGCCCGCCGGAGGACCAACCAAAACUCUUUUUGUAUACCCCCUCGCGGGUUUUUUAUAAUCUGAGCCUUCUCGGCGCCUCUCGUAGGCGUUUCGAAAAUGAAUCAAAACUUUCAACAACGGAUCUCUUGGUUCUGGCAUCGAUGAAGAACGCAGCGAAAUGCGAUAAGUAAUGUGAAUUGCAGAAUUCAGUGAAUCAUCGAAUCUUUGAACGCACAUUGCGCCCGCCAGUAUUCUGGCGGGCAUGCCUGUCCGAGCGUCAUUUCAACCCUCGAACCCCUCCGGGGGGUCGGCGUUGGGGAUCGGCCCUGCCUUGGCGGUGGCCGUCUCCGAAAUACAGUGGCGGUCUCGCCGCAGCCUCUCCUGCGCAGUAGUUUGCACACUCGCAUCGGGAGCGCGGCGCGUCCACAGCCGUUAAACACCCAACUUCUGAAAUGUUGACCUCGGAUCAGGUAGGAAUACCCGCUGAACUUAAGCAUAUCAAUAAGUCGGAGGAAUCUC
This 557-nucleotide ribosomal RNA is filed under the name Trichoderma harzianum. Its description in RNAcentral is "eukaryotic LSU rRNA". The stretch from base 165 to 318 matches the Rfam family "5.8S ribosomal RNA". Lineage: Eukaryota; Fungi; Ascomycota; Sordariomycetes; Hypocreales; Hypocreaceae. The record is from RNAcentral.